CUUUAUCAACCUUCUCUCUCCCACUCUCUGCGACUCAUGAACAGAUCUGUGAGGAUUUCACCAGAUCUAGGGUUUUACUUUCAUUCGAUUUCAAAUCCAUGACCCCAUCCUGUGACGGUGUCGUGUGCAGUGUUAAAAUCCGCCGAUUAGGGUUCCGGCAGUGGGAUUCUCGAGCAGAUUGUUGGCAAAUGAGACGAGCAACUGGCGGUAGAUGGUGGUUGAGGUAGGUUCCGACAACCCGGUUCCGAUUUAUCGGCUGCAUGUACGUUUUCUGACAACGAAGUUUAGAAGCUGGUGGCGUGUUUGUGUUGGUUCGACAAAGCCAGAAAGCGGAGGCGACGGCUAGGGUUCCGAUUAGUGAUCUCGGUCCGAUGUUCUUCACGAGAGAUGAUCUACUCGAGAUGGUAAAGAUGGAAUUCCAGCAUUGCUUGGGGUUACAGGGGAUAUACCAGCAGCAGUUACCGUGGAGGAUAUUGAUAUUGCUGUGAAAGCAGCACGCAGAGCUCUUAAACAUGAUGAAGGAAAAGAAUGGGCAUCAGCUUCUGGGGCUCAUCGUGCAAAGUAUCUUCGUUCCAUUGCUACAAAGGUUACUGAGAAAAAGGAUAAGUUCGCUAAGCUUCCAAUGGAUACCUUUAAAUUCCAUAUCAUCAGGGAACCAAUUGGUGGUCUUGGGCUGAUUACUCCAUGGAAUUAUCCUUUGCUAAUGGCUAUUUGGAUAGUUGCAUCUGCACUGGCUGCUGGGUGUGCUGCAGUACUUAAGCCAUCAGAGUUGGCGUCUGUCACGUGUCUGGAAUUAGGCAAAGUAUGCAGGGAGGUGGGGCUGCCCCCUGGCACGUGUCUGCAACAAAAAUUCCUUCCGGCGCGUACACAACUACCACCAGCAAAACUGAAGAUGAGAAUUCUACCGGUGACAUCUAGAGUUGAAUUUGAUGUCUUAAGGUGGUUAUGAGGGUGUGCACCGUGAGUUCCAGCAAAUCAGCAAUGCCUAGAAAGUUUAGAAUGAGGGUUGUACGAUGGUGGUGGUUGUGCGAACACAUUUAGAUGGGCGAUUUGAAGAUGGCCAAAUUUUCCUAGCGAUUGAGGUAAGUACAGUCCUGCUUAGCUUCAUUUAUCAGCUAAUCUUAUCAUUCCGACCAGCAGUAGGUUGAGUGAAUAUGAUGUUUUAGGUCGGUUGGCAGCUAAGAUGUCUCUGACUGCUGUGAAUUUGGAGCCAGUGAAGUGGUGUUGUUUGAUCAAUUAACGUUUACGUGUUUUUUGAUCAAUUAGCGUUUCCUGUUACUAUGCAACAGACCAUUAUGUGGAGUGACAAACUUGGUUUGGUACCGGUGAAUAGUCAUGGGACCUAACUGUAUAUGGGGACUUAUAUUACCGUGCUUUAAUCUUUGUCAUAUAGACUAGAACAACUGCUCAAAAGGACUUAAAUUAUGGAACAUUGGGCUCGCUGGGAGGUACAAAGAAGAGUUGAAUUGUGAAAUUCAACAUGCUUUCAUUUUAUAAUUAUAAGCACUCAUUAUUUAACCUGACAUUUCACAGAUCAGCAGCUUAAAAUAUCUAAUGUCGCUUAACACAUUAGUUUUCUAAUUGAAAUGUGUUUUGAGUAGGUUAAUAACUUACUGAAGCAAUUCUAGGGGCUGUUACCAGAACUUUGGGUAUUCCAGAUACCAUUUUUUUCUUAACUGGAAGUAAAGAUGGGAUGUAACGCUUUGGGAUGCUUAGAGGGCAAAAUUGGUAUCAAUGGCCAAAAAUGCAUGAUAGACAACAUUAAUAUUGUGGUUGGCUCAUAGAGUUGUACUAAUCUGAUGGGAACAUUGAUCUGGUGUGGCAUCUUGGGAUACUUGUUUGUAUUGUUCUGCAGGGAGUGAAUGUUUGAUGGGAUGCUGUUCCAUAUUCCAUCAAUUGGCAUUGCCUCCCAUUUGCUUUGUUAUACGAUUUAUGUCUGUUGGUUCAUAGAUUUGGCUUCCUUGGGAUAGAAAAUGUUUGUAUCUGGGGUGGCCCUUUGGUUUCAUAUAUUAAUUAGCUGGUUAGUCUUGGUGCAAUUUAAGAGUGUUACAGGUUGGUGCUAAGAUGAAAACUGUUAUUUUUGUUGAUUUUGUGAUGUUUAAUGGAAGUUUGUUUUGGCUGGUCAAAAAAAGAAAAACAACGUUCAUAAUUACAGAUUAUAUAUUUUGGCAAGAAAAUCUACAUAUACCAGCCAAGCGAAUAGUAUACAUUCACAUGUGAGAAUUUUUUAAUAUAUUAAAAGGUGGAAAAAUUGCAUAUGUGCCAAUUUGACCUGACCCAUUGACCCACAUAAAAUUACCCUCUUUGUCAAAGAGUCUUUGAGUUGGUACUGAAUUUCACCUCUUAGCACAGUCCAGUUUGUCACAUGUAGAUACUUGAUUUCUAUUUACAACUAACCAACAAUUAUAAAAUAAUGAAAAAAUUAAUGUGCAAAAGUAUUAAAUUACAAAUCAAAGAGUUGGUUAAAGUAUUUGGUGUUUUUUGUUCAAAUGCUUCUGAGUUAAAGAGUUUGGUCUUCUUUUUGUUCAGAUAGUUGAAUUAACAAAAAAUUAUAUAUAUUUUGUGAGGAUUGAUAAACUAAUAGAAACAAGUACCCUCUUGCAAAAAUUGUCACUAUCACAACAUUGUUUGGUAAAGAUUAUUUUGUUUGGUCUCACGCAACCUAGAGUUGGCUAUAUUGUGCUAUUUUGUUUGGGUAAAUUUCAUAUGGUCGGUCGCCCGGUGAAAGGAGACUUUUCCGUAAUUUCAUAAGGAGACUUAUUUUAGAUUUACAUAAGAAUAAAUAUGCAUGUCAGAUGUAGCACGUGAGGAUUGAUAAGUUAACUUAAUUGAGUUGUAACGUAUUUUACACGAAUACGAAAAUUAACUUAAUAUACCAUGAGAUGA
Molecule: long non-coding RNA, 2886 nt
Filed under: Helianthus annuus (common sunflower)
Lineage: Eukaryota; Viridiplantae; Streptophyta; Magnoliopsida; Asterales; Asteraceae
Source: RNAcentral